Myotis lucifugus (little brown bat) is the source of this 74-nucleotide non-coding RNA. The record is from Rfam. Lineage: Eukaryota; Metazoa; Chordata; Mammalia; Chiroptera; Vespertilionidae.
GCCAUUAUGGCUCAGUUAGUUAGAGCAUCAUCCUGUGCACCCAAGAGUUGUGGGUUCAAUUCCCAGUUAGGGCA